Molecule: long non-coding RNA, 769 nt
Filed under: Homo sapiens (human)
Lineage: Eukaryota; Metazoa; Chordata; Mammalia; Primates; Hominidae
Description: non-protein coding lnc-ELK1-1:1
Source: RNAcentral
CUCGGGCCCACGUGAGCUGUAGGGAAACGCAGGGGCGGCUUCUAGGUGCUGCCGCCGCCACCGCCACCACCACCUCCACCGCCGCCUCGGAACCCAGGCCUGGGGGGCGGUGGGGCCGCGUAUGGAGCCCCCGCCCCCCGGAGCUGCCAACAUUGCCAACGCCACCGCCACGCUACACACAGCCUCAACUUUCAGGAGACCCGUCCGUGGCCUUAUUUAUUCCACCCUUCCUGUACAUCGUAGCGAAUCAAUCCGUGGCGCCGCACUCCUCCGCAUCCCUCUUUAACAAAGAGAACGUGCUGAUCCUCUUUUCCUUGUGAUGGAGCACUGUACGGCCUUCCCUGUCCUCCACCUCUUAAUAGUGGGUCAGCCUGGUCACACUCGUAACCACAAAGACGUUCUGCCUCACUACAAUAAGUGAAUACAUUAGCGCCAGUGAUGAUAGUAAUGCCAAUAGGAGCUAGCGUUUAUUGAGCACCUGCCGUAUAUCAGGCAGAGUGUUUCAUAUGAAUGAGUUCCUUUAAUCCUCACCACAACCCCAUGAGAUAGGUAGUGAGGGAAUUGGGCCAUAGGGAGGUUAAAUUCCUUACUCAAAGGUGGCCCAGGAAGUACUCAGGACACAGGAUAAUUUUUGAGGCUCCCCUCUUAGAUCUCAUCCCACCCCACGUGAGGCCUCAGUCCUUAAAAACCAAAUUAGUUCUCACCUCCAAGCUUUUGUUCUUGCUGUUCCCUCUGCCUGCAGAGCAGUCUUCAUUCCUCACCUUCUCUC